UUCUCUUCAGCAGUUCUUGCCUGUGCAGUGAACUCUUUGUUUCCCAGCCGAGGCUGAUGAUAUCUCUUGCAGAAAUCUCUUGAUUUUCUCUACAUCCCCAACAGAUUUGCUUCAGUAGCAAUCUCUGCCUGCUGUGAACUUUUGUUCCCCAGUCGGGUCGACCGUUGAUCCAUCACUCAGAGAUUUGGUGUUUCCCUUGAUAUCUCUGAUCUUUUGC
Molecule: long non-coding RNA, 217 nt
Filed under: Lathyrus oleraceus (garden pea)
Lineage: Eukaryota; Viridiplantae; Streptophyta; Magnoliopsida; Fabales; Fabaceae
Description: Pisum sativum (pea) long non-coding RNA (PSAT_LNC025610)
Source: RNAcentral